GAUGAACGCUGGCGGCGUGCUUAACACAUGCAAGUCGAACGGUGAAGGCGGAGCUUGCUCUGCUGGAUCAGUGGCGAACGGGUGAGUAACACGUGAGCAAUCUGCCCCUGACUCUGGGAUAAGCGCUGGAAACGGCGUCUAAUACUGGAUACGAGCUGCGAAGGCAUCUUCAGCAGCUGGAAAGAACUUCGGUCAGGGAUGAGCUCGCGGCCUAUCAGCUUGUUGGUGAGGUAACGGCUCACCAAGGCGUCGACGGGUAGGCGGCCUGAGAGGGUGACCGGCCACACUGGGACUGAGACACGGCCCAGACUCCUACGGGAGGCAGCAGUGGGGAAUAUUGCACAAUGGGCGAAAGCCUGAUGCAGCAACGCCGCGUGAGGGACGACGGCCUUCGGGUUGUAAACCUCUUUUAGCAGGGAAGAAGCGAAAGUGACGGUACCUGCAGAAAAAGCGCCGGCUAACUACGUG
This 468-nucleotide ribosomal RNA is filed under the name uncultured bacterium. RNAcentral describes it as "partial 16S ribosomal RNA". It matches the Rfam family "Bacterial small subunit ribosomal RNA", at positions 28 to 507 of the family's 1533-position model. The record is from RNAcentral.